CGCAUCUGUGCAUGCAGCAUAUCAAUAAGCGGAGGAAAAGAAACUAACAAGGAUUCCCCUAGUAACGGCGAGUGAAGCGGGAAGAGCUCAAAUUUGAAAUCUUAAAGGGUUUCCCUUUACGAAUUGUAGUUUAAAGAAGUGUUUUCUGUUGAGGUUUUGGUAAAAGUUCUUUGGAAUAGGACAUCAUAGAGGGUGAGAAUCCCGUAUUUGACCUUUACUUUCAACUUUGUGAUACACUUUCAAAGAGUCGGAUUGUUUGGGAAUGCAGUCCAAAAUGGGUGGUAAAUUUCAUCUAAAGCUAAAUAUUGGCGAGAGACCGAUAGCGAACAAGUACCGUGAGGGAAAGAUGAAAAGAACUUUGAAAAGAGAGUUAAACAGUACGUGAAAUUGUCAAAAGGGAAGCGUUUGACACCAGUGUUGUUUUUCUGAAAAUCAAUUAAAGAACUGUUUAUGCUAAGUUGUUUAGACUUUAUCAGCUAUACUGCUUUAGUUUUGAGCUUUUCUUUAAUGCACUUUUCAGUUAACAAGUCAACAUCAAUUUCUUUUGCUGUAAAAAAGCUUGAGGAAGGUGGCUUGAGAUUCGUCUUAAGUGUUUAUAGCCUCUUGCCUAUGCAGUCGGAGAGAUUGAGGUCUGCAGCGUAGAUCCUUCGGGGCUAAAUGCAUUUGUGCUAAGUUAUAGCAUUUUAUAGACAACUUGUUGACUAUGAUUUGUCUUGUAGCUUACUCGCUUAUGUUAUUUUACCUACGCUUAGGAUGUUGAAGAUGUAGCACAUCAU
RNAcentral lists this ribosomal RNA (776 nucleotides) under uncultured Neocallimastigales. Its description in RNAcentral is "partial large subunit ribosomal RNA". It matches the Rfam family "Eukaryotic large subunit ribosomal RNA", at positions 26 to 635 of the family's 3401-position model. The record is from RNAcentral. Lineage: Eukaryota; Fungi; Neocallimastigomycota; Neocallimastigomycetes; Neocallimastigales.